Molecule: non-coding RNA, 622 nt
Organism: Pelobates cultripes (western spadefoot toad)
Lineage: Eukaryota; Metazoa; Chordata; Amphibia; Anura; Pelobatidae
Source: the annotation of a GenBank genome assembly
GGCUGUCCAACAUGCGGCCCCCCCAGAUGUUGCUGAACUACAACUCCCAUGAUUCCCUGGCUAUCUGUUUAAUUGAAAUAAUCAUGGGAGUUGUAGUUAAGCAACAUCCGGGGGCCGCAGGUUCGACAGGCCUGAUCUACGGAACAGAUUGCUUGAUAAGUAAAACCACAGACUUCAAGGAGGGUGUUCUUUCUUUUUCUCAUGAUUCUAGUAUCCAGUUAGUGUAAUGAUCUGGGGUUGUAUGACUGCAAAAUGUGAGGGCAUAUUUUGUGUGAUGGUAUGGUACUUUAAAUGGGGGGCAAAAAAUAUAGCUGCGAUGUAUUUGAUCUAAAACAUAAGCCUUCGGCAUCUAAUCUAUGUAUAAAGCCUAUAUAUUUCAACUGGUUUUAGGGCCUUAUGUGUCGGCUGUGGGCAAAAAGUAGUUUCAGGAAAAUCAUAUUACAUUGCUAGAAUGGCCAUGUAAUAGCCCUGACUUGAAUACAAUUGAAAAUCUGUGGAGCCAAUUAAAAAAAAAUUGUUAUUCAAAAGCAACCAAAGAAUAAAAGACUAUGUGAAACCAAUAUUAUGAUUGAUCCUAACACCUGCAGAACUAAAAACCUAGAUUCAUUCCAUGGGAUACCAU